Molecule: ribosomal RNA, 330 nt
Filed under: uncultured bacterium
Lineage: Bacteria
Description: bacterial SSU rRNA
Rfam family: Bacterial small subunit ribosomal RNA
Source: RNAcentral
UUCGUAGGCGGUGCGGCAAGUCGGAAGUGAAAUCUCUGGGCUUAACUCAGAGGCUGCUCCCGAAACUGCCGUGCUCGAGUGCGGGAGAGGCGAGUGGAAUUACAGGUGUAGCGGUGAAAUGCGUAGAUAUCUGUAGGGACACCCGUGGCGAAGGCGGCUCGCUGGACCGCAACUGACGCUGAGGAACGAAAGCUAGGGGAGCAAACAGGAUUAGAUACCCUGGUAGUCCUAGCCCUAAACGAUCAGGACUUGGGGUGCAUCCCGUUGGGGGUGCGUCCCGGAGCUAACGCGUUAAGUCCUGCGCCUGGGGAGUACGGUCGCAAGGCUGGA